Non-coding RNA from Oryctolagus cuniculus (rabbit), 711 nucleotides. The record is from RefSeq and is a predicted model, not a curated record. Lineage: Eukaryota; Metazoa; Chordata; Mammalia; Lagomorpha; Leporidae.
GUGUGGUGUGUGUACUUUCAGGGAGUAGGAGGUUGGCCCAGUUCCAAGAACUAGACAAAGUCCUCUUGCAAAGGAUCGAAAACAACUAUGUGAUCCUGGCUGGAAUGCUAGUCCAUGACCCAGAUGAUCCAUUUCUAGAAUGCACUCAGGACCAGGGAGAAGCAAAGAAAUAAGAGAAAGCCACAGAUGACAGAUUAAGAGGUCACCAACUGCCAAUUUCAUAAUGUGGAAUGAAACAGAAAGAUAGGAAAAGACAAGAUCAUGCAUUGGCUUGGAGACAAGUUUUCCAGAUGCAAGGCUCGCCCCUCAAACUUUGCGAUACCCUGGAACCUAAGAAUUUUGUGCGCUGAAGGGACUGAUUGUGAAUCAAAUUUUUCAUCAGGUUUGGAAGGAUUUAUUGAGGAAUCCUGAAGGAAAAAUCUCCUGUCACCAAAACAUAAUGAGACGUGGGUGGUGUAUGUGAUUACCGAGGACCCAUGGAGCUCCAGAUUUUUACGAUUCUCACAUUUAUGCAAGUGCAAGUAUCACCAGUGUUCUACCUAUGAAAUCUCUGAAGAGACUGAUCUGUACAAAAAAGAAAACAAACCUUGAUUUUCAUUAAUAAACUCUUAAAAUGGACUCCAGCAUGCUCAGAUUUUUUUCUAAGAAACACACUGAUCAGCCAUUGUUCUCUUUCAUAAAGGUAGAUACAUUCAGGGGCUUUAAGGUUCU